Nerophis ophidion (straightnose pipefish) is the source of this 704-nucleotide long non-coding RNA. RefSeq lists it as uncharacterized. The record is from RefSeq and is a predicted model, not a curated record. The transcript has 4 exons. Lineage: Eukaryota; Metazoa; Chordata; Actinopteri; Syngnathiformes; Syngnathidae.
AGACUGUUAAAUACAGGCUAGUUUUGUUGAAUGUUUGUAGCCCGAGGCGUUCCAGUGAGAGGCUAACUUAACUACGAUCCCAAAAGUUAGCGAGGAUGCACCGUAAUAAUCAUCAGCUUAAAAGUGUAUUGCAGGUCCUAGAGAUGCUUCUAACAGUCAUGUAUUACACAACAUCAAUGAUAUGGAUGGUUCAUCCAGGAUCCCUUGGAACUCCUAUUUAAUUCAAUCAGAGCGUCACGCGGCUGGAACAACAAUCCAAUUGCACGCCAGUUCCAGGCCAUUUCCACCAUCUGAUGGUUCGCUUUGGUGUCUCACAAAGUGAGACUGGCUGUGUGGCAGCCCAAGAUAACACAGGUUCUCUCUCUGCAGUUGCGAUGUCCUCUGCUGAAACUGCAGAAAAACACCUAUCUCUAUUUGCCAACCUUUCGGCCAUUGUGUGUGACCACAGUUAUUUUCCCAAUCGUGUUGCUGGUCUGGUGGAAAAUUCUCUGGUCUACAUAGAAAGAUCAGUAGUCUGGCAGAUACCAAAGGAGCUGUCCUGUGAUGUCAUUUGGGUAGCGUAGUCAUUUGACAAGAGCUACCACCUUCGAGCCCUGAAAAAAAAAGUGGCCUAGUGAUUCCAUCACAGAGCACAGGGAAAGUUUAAUUCCAUAAUCAUGUUUGUUUUUAAAUCUUUGUGUAUUAAAGUAUCAAUCAAUCAUCCA